Molecule: ribosomal RNA, 253 nt
Filed under: uncultured bacterium
Lineage: Bacteria
Description: partial 16S ribosomal RNA
Rfam family: Bacterial small subunit ribosomal RNA
Source: RNAcentral
UACGUAGGGUGCAAGCGUUGUCCGGAAUUAUUGGGCGUAAAGGGCUCGUAGGCGGCUUGUCACGUCGGGUGUGAAAGCCCGGGGCUUAACCCCGGGUCUGCAUUCGAUACGGGCUAGCUAGAGUGUGGUAGGGGAGAUCGGAAUUCCUGGUGUAGCGGUGAAAUGCGCAGAUAUCAGGAGGAACACCGGUGGCGAAGGCGGAUCUCUGGGCCAUUACUGACGCUGAGGAGCGAAAGCGUGGGGAGCGAACAGG